UUGCAAAGAGUGGGGUUUUGAGGGAUGUGCUUGUUUAGAGUUGGGGUUUGAGAGAUGAACUCGUUCAGAGUGGGGGUUUGAGAGAUGAACUCGUUCAGAGUGGGGGUUUGAGAGAUGAACUUGUUCAGAGUGGGGGUUUGAGGGAUGUGCUUGUUCAGAGUGGGGGUUUGAGGGAUGUGCUUGUUUAGAGUUGGGGUUUGAGAGAUGAACUCGUUCAGAGUUGGGGUUUGAGAGAUGAACUCGUUCAGAGUUGGGGUUAGAGAUAUUAAUAACCUUGUUUUUUUUCAGUGAUGUGUUUCUGACGGAUGGGAGUCGGGUCAGUGCUGCGACAGUGGCGAGUACAGCGAUCGCGGCGGCUCAGUGGGCGGUCUCUCAGACCGUCCAGCAGCUCUCGGCCGGAGGAGACGGCAGUGUGUGCCAGCAGGGGGCAGCAGUAUUAGUGCAGGAGAGUCCAGCGGGAGGCAGCACUGAGGGGUUUAAGGGGUCCGGAGCUCCGGGGGCAGACUUGAUGUCAUCUGCCCCGGGGAUAAUGGGGGAGUAUGACGGAAGGGGAGGGGCAACAGCUUUAACUGAAAGUGGAGGAGUCCGUCCUUCAUCUGCCCUUCCCCUGACGCUAACACCGGCAGCAUACACACAACCCUGCCAGGCUACACUGCCCCAGCAGGUUGAGACAGCAGGAAAGCCUCAGCCGGCGACUCCAGGAACAGCGUUUGAGCGACAGCAGUACCGUGACUGUUUAAGUAAUUAGUGUUGCUCGUUCCUGUAGCUGAUCCUGAUGUAUCCACCUAUCAGUAUGAUGAAAGCUCGGGAUAUUACUAUGACCCUUUCACUGGCCUCUACUACGAUCCAAACUCUCAGGUAACAGUAUUACACUUGUAACACCAUUACACCCAUUGCAGCACCCCAUCAUGGCAGGGCCCCCCCAUCACAGGGUCUCCCAUAACCCUAUCGCAGAUUCCCCCGAUUCCCCCAUCGCAAAGUUCCCUAUUCCCCAUCACUGAUUCCCCCAUUA
Molecule: long non-coding RNA, 1012 nt
Filed under: Astyanax mexicanus (Mexican tetra)
Lineage: Eukaryota; Metazoa; Chordata; Actinopteri; Characiformes; Acestrorhamphidae
Description: lncRNA (ENSAMXG00005009059.1)
Source: RNAcentral